GUUUGCACUUAUCGGGGAAGGGUGAGAACCUUCGAUUAAGGUUCGACUCGAGCGAAAGCGAGAGAACGUUGCCAAAGGCAACGGCCCGAAGGGUGAGGAGCGAAGCGACGAAUAAUCCUUCCCCCACCACCA
This 132-nucleotide small RNA is filed under the name Kluyvera sichuanensis. RNAcentral's name for it is "RtT sRNA". It matches the Rfam family "RtT RNA". Rfam says of the family: This family represents a bacterial cis-regulatory element known as RtT RNA. The record is from RNAcentral. Lineage: Bacteria; Pseudomonadati; Pseudomonadota; Gammaproteobacteria; Enterobacterales; Enterobacteriaceae.